UACAGAGGGGGCAAGCGUUGUUCGGAAUCACUGGGCGUAAAGGGUGCGUAGGCGGGUCUUUAAGUCAGGGGUGAAAUCCUGGAGCUCAACUCCAGAGCUGCCUUUGAUACUGAGGAUCUUGAGUUCGGGAGAGGUGAGUGGAACUGCGAGUGUAGAGGUGAAAUUCGUAGAUAUUCGCAAGAACACCAGUGGCGAAGGCGGCUCACUGGCCCGAUACUGACGCUGAGGCACGAAAGCGUGGGGAGCAAACAGG
RNAcentral lists this ribosomal RNA (253 nucleotides) under uncultured bacterium. Its description in RNAcentral is "partial 16S ribosomal RNA". It matches the Rfam family "Bacterial small subunit ribosomal RNA", at positions 524 to 776 of the family's 1533-position model. The record is from RNAcentral.